Molecule: non-coding RNA, 82 nt
Filed under: Andreesenella acetica
Lineage: Bacteria; Bacillati; Bacillota; Clostridia; Peptostreptococcales; Natronincolaceae
Description: Clostridium aceticum c-di-GMP-II sequence
Rfam family: Cyclic di-GMP-II riboswitch aptamer
Source: RNAcentral
UAAUCAUUAGGAAACAAAGAAGUAGGUUCUAUAUUUGGGCACCUAGAACCUAUGGAGUGAGUGGUGCAACCGACCUAGGCUA